AUCUAGGUAGCUCAGUGGAUAGAGUGCUAGGCCUGGAAUCAAGGAGAACUGAGUUCAAAUCCAGUCUCAGAUA
RNAcentral lists this transfer RNA (73 nucleotides) under Monodelphis domestica (gray short-tailed opossum). It matches the Rfam family "tRNA". From Rfam's summary of the family: Transfer RNA (tRNA) molecules are approximately 80 nucleotides in length. Their secondary structure includes four short double-helical elements and three loops (D, anti-codon, and T loops). The record is from Rfam by way of RNAcentral. Lineage: Eukaryota; Metazoa; Chordata; Mammalia; Didelphimorphia; Didelphidae.